Molecule: ribosomal RNA, 117 nt
Organism: Oncorhynchus tshawytscha (Chinook salmon)
Lineage: Eukaryota; Metazoa; Chordata; Actinopteri; Salmoniformes; Salmonidae
Source: Ensembl
GCUUACGACCACACCGGCCUGAGUACGCCUGAUCUCGUCUGAUCUGAAGCUAAGCAGGGUCGGGCCUGGUUAGUACUUGGAUGGGAGACUUCCUGGGAAUACCAGGUGCUGUAAGCU